RNAcentral lists this ribosomal RNA (587 nucleotides) under Saccharomyces uvarum. Its description in RNAcentral is "eukaryotic LSU rRNA". It matches the Rfam family "Eukaryotic large subunit ribosomal RNA", at positions 38 to 642 of the family's 3401-position model. Lineage: Eukaryota; Fungi; Ascomycota; Saccharomycetes; Saccharomycetales; Saccharomycetaceae. The record is from RNAcentral.
GCAUAUCAAUAAGCGGAGGAAAAGAAACCAACCGGGAUUGCCUUAGUAACGGCGAGUGAAGCGGCAAAAGAAAUUUGAAAUCUGGUACCUUUGAUGCCCGAGUUGUAAUUUGGAGAGGGCAACUUUGGGACCGUUCCUUGUCUAUGUUCCUUGGAACAGGACGUCAUAGAGGGUGAGAAUCCCGUGUGGCGAGGAGUGCGGUUCUAUGUAAAGUGCCUUCGAAGAGUCGAGUUGUUUGGGAAUGCAGCUCUAAGUGGGUGGUAAAUUCCAUCUAAAGCUAAAUAUUGGCGAGAGACCGAUAGCGAACAAGUACAGUGAUGGAAAGAUGAAAAGAACUUUGAAAAGAGAGUGAAAAAGUACGUGAAAUUGUUGAAAGGGAAGGGCAUUUGAUCAGACAUGGUGUUUUGCGCCCUCUGCUCCUUGUGGGUGGGGGAAUCUCGCAGUUCACUGGGCCAGCAUCAGUUUUGGUGGCAGGAUAAAUCCGUAGGAAUGUAACUUGCUUCGGGAAGUAUUAUAGCCUAUGGGAAUACUGCCAGCUGGGACUGAGGACUGCGACGUAAGUCAAGGAUGCUGGCAUAUUGGUUAUA